CUUCCAGCAGCCUUCAGAUGAAGAUGUAGAACUCUCAGCUCUUCCUGUACCAUGCCUGCCUGGAUGCUGCCAUGCUUCAUACCGUGAUGAUUAUCGGACUGAACUCUGAACUGUCCAUCCCUGUACAUAGGAGAGUGAAGCUCCAGUCAACAAAAACCACGGGCUUUCCAGGACUGCUACAGAUGUGAAAAGAACCAUUUGCCUGGGGAACUUGACCAAGAUGUAAUUCCAGUUGACAACUUUGCCCCGGCACAGAGGAUGGUAAAGGAGAAUGGCCGAAAUGAGUCCCGCUUAAUGAGAAGCUUCCAGUUGACAACUUUGCCUGGCACGGAGGAUGGUAAAGCAGAAUGAUCGAAAUGAGCCCAGCUUAAUGAGAAGCCUCAGGUGACGCUAAGAUCUUAAUGAAUCCAAUCUGCCUUCCUCAAAGGAGUGGAUUUUUCUACAGUUCUGUUUAAAACUCCUGUGUCGGUUUGAAUAAAGAAUUGGAUAAA
Mastomys coucha (southern multimammate mouse) is the source of this 491-nucleotide long non-coding RNA. RefSeq lists it as uncharacterized. NCBI's taxonomy places the organism in Eukaryota, Metazoa, Chordata, Mammalia, Rodentia, Muridae. The record is from RefSeq and is a predicted model, not a curated record. The transcript has 2 exons.